UGGGGAAUAUUGCACAAUGGGCGCAAGCCUGAUGCAGCCAUGCCGCGUGUAUGAAGAAGGCCUUCGGGUUGUAAAGCACUUUCAGCGGGGAGGAAGGCGUUAAGGUUAAUAACCUUGGCGAUUGACGUUACCCGCAGAAGAAGCACCGGCUAACUCCGUGCCAGCAGCCGCGGUAAUACGGAGGGUGCAAGCGUUAAUCGGAAUUACUGGGCGUAAAGCGCACGCAGGCGGUUGAUUGAGUCAGAUGUGAAAUCCCCGGGCUCAACCUGGGAUCUGCAUUCGAAACUGGCAGGCUAGAGUCUUGUAGAGGGGGGUAGAAUUCCAGGUGUAGCGGUGAAAUGCGUAGAGAUCUGGAGGAAUACCGGUGGCGAAGGCGGCCCCCUGGACAAAGACUGACGCUCAGGUGCGAAAGCGUGGGGAGCAAACAGG
This 429-nucleotide ribosomal RNA is filed under the name Chloroflexota bacterium. RNAcentral's name for it is "Chloroflexi bacterium partial 16S ribosomal RNA". It matches the Rfam family "Bacterial small subunit ribosomal RNA", at positions 355 to 776 of the family's 1533-position model. The record is from RNAcentral. Lineage: Bacteria; Bacillati; Chloroflexota.